This is a non-coding RNA of Caenorhabditis elegans, 123 nucleotides long. The record is from Ensembl. Lineage: Eukaryota; Metazoa; Nematoda; Chromadorea; Rhabditida; Rhabditidae.
AAUGCACUAUUUUUGCAACACAAAACAAGUGGGCGGAGUUCGUCUGCGCUUCACCACGUCUUCGCACUGUCGCCGCCCGUUCCACUGCUUUAACCAAAAGCAGAGGCUGAAGCUGCGCAUUUC